GCUGGGCAUGGUGGCGUGUGCCUAUAGUCCCAGCUACUCAGGAGGCUGAGGCAGGAGGAUUGCUUGAGCCCAGGAGUUCUGGGCUGAAGUGCGCUAUGCUGUUCGGGUGUCUGCACUAAGUUCACCAUCAAUAUGGUGACCUCCCAGUAGCAGGGAACCACCAGGUUGCCUAAGGAGGGAGCAGGUCAGAAAUGGAGCAGGUCAAAACUCCUGUGCUGAUCAGUAGUGGGAUCACAUCUGAAUAGCCACUGCACUCCAGCCUGGGCAACAUAGCAAGACCCCAUCUCUU
Molecule: unclassified non-coding RNA, 289 nt
Organism: Callithrix jacchus (white-tufted-ear marmoset)
Lineage: Eukaryota; Metazoa; Chordata; Mammalia; Primates; Cebidae
Rfam family: Metazoan signal recognition particle RNA
About the family: The signal recognition particle (SRP) is a universally conserved ribonucleoprotein.
Source: Ensembl